This 2396-nucleotide long non-coding RNA is filed under the name Callithrix jacchus (white-tufted-ear marmoset). Its description in RNAcentral is "lncRNA (ENSCJAG00000078782.1)". The record is from RNAcentral. Lineage: Eukaryota; Metazoa; Chordata; Mammalia; Primates; Cebidae.
UGUAGGUAUAUUAUAUAGGUAAAUUGUUUUGGGAGUUUGAUAUACAGAUUAUUUUCUUACCUAGGUAAAAGCACAGUACCUAAUAGUUUGUUUUCUUUUUUCAAUCCCCACCCUCCUCUCAUCCCUCUAUUCACGAAUAACCCUGGCAUCUGUUGUUCCCUUCUCUAUAUUCAUAUGUACUAAGUGUUUAGUUCCCACUUAUGAGUGAAAACAUGCAGUCUUUGGUUUUCUGUUCCUGUGUUAGUAUGCUUAGGAUAAUCUUCUCCAGCUCCAUCCAUGUUAUUGCAACACACAUUAUCUCAUUCUUUUUUAUGGUUGUAUAGUAUUCCAUUGCAUAUAUCUUUCCGAUUUUAAUAAAUCCAGUUUAUCACUGAUGAACAUUUAGGUUAAUUCCAUGUCUUUGUUACUAUCAAUUAAUGCCAAGAUUAAUAUAUGUAUGUGUGUGUUAUUAUAGUAGAAUGAUUUAUAUUCCAUUGGGUAUCUAAAAUCAAUAAUGGGAUUACUGGGUCAAAUGAUAGUUCUGUUUUUAGUUUUUCAGGAAAUUGACAACUGUUUUCUACAGUCACUGAACUGCUUUACAUCCCCACCAGCUGUAUACAAGCAUUCCCUUUUCUCUACAACUUCACCAGCAUCUGUUAUUUUUUGACUUUUUAAUAAUGGCCAUACUGACUUGUGUGAGAUGGUACCUCAUUGUGGUUGUGACUUGCAUUUCUCUAACAAGUAGUGAUGUUGAGCAUUUUUUGUGUGCUUUUUGGCUGCAUGUAUGUUUUCUUUUUAAAGUGUCUGUUAAUGUACUUUGCUCAUUUUUAAUGAGGUUAUAUCUUUUUUGUUGUUUGUUAAAGUUUCUUAUAGAUCCUGGAUAUCAGACCAUCAUCAGACACAUAGUUUGCAGAUUUUCUCCCAUUUGACAGAGCUUAUACAAAUUAAGAAAAUAACAGGAGAGGACUCAAGAUGGCGCUGUGAGAACAACCCAGGAUUGGAGCUCUUCUCGUUGAAUCCGCAAACGGUGAGUCAGAGCGGCAUUACCAGACUGAUCUUUGUUGCCCACAGAACGGGGAAACUCCCAAGUAUAAAAAAGACACGGGACGCCAGGCAGUAGGUCUGCCUGGCGAAGCCGGCAGCCGGGGCGGCGGCGGCCGGCCCUACCCAGCAAUCCCCACAGGGCGCACUUGUCCGGGUGCCCUGUUGAACCAGCAACCUGAGACUUGAGAGGGCUGGACUUGAGACUGAACGAGACUUGGACAGUAGGCCAGCCCAGGGGAUUGCAGGGAUUGGGAUACCCAGUGGGACGAACAAAAUCGCGAUUUCAAACUAGACCGAGCAGACGGUCCAAGACGCUCUGUGGGGGAGGGGCGUCCACCACUACCGAGGCAGCCUGCCCCAACUGAGAUACACGCCCACUGCUGACGCAGCCAGCCGUUGCCGAGGCAACCCGCCCCAACUGAGAUACACGGCCAUUGCUGACGCAGCCAGCUGUUGCCGAGGCAACCCGUCCCUACUGAGAUACACGCCCACUGCUGACGCAGCCUGCCAUUGCUGAGGCAACACGCUACAACGAAGAGACUCCGCCCCAGGGCGUGGCGGAGACCACAGCAGAGCCGGCAGGAACAGCGCGAAUCACACAACAGCAGGGCGGAGCCUCGACAGCCAAACAGUGGCUAGUCUGCCUUCUAGCUGGGCAGGACACCUGAACGGACAUCCAAAAAUAAAGCCCAAACCCCUCAACACAGAGCAUCUGAGAAAAAAAAAAAAAAGGGUUUUUUAAUGAGCUCUGUUGCAGCAGAAUAAAACACAGCAGCCUAACAGCCCUGAAUGAACAACAGAGUGCACAGCUCAGCAAUUAAACCCCUAUAAAGUACAAACUGUCUCCUCAAGCAGCUCCCUGACCCCUCUAUAUCCAAAAGACUGACAUUAGGCAGGCAUCAUCCUGGGACAAAGAGAGCAGAAAAAGAAACUGGUGGCAUCCCUCGCUGUGCCACAGCUACUAGAGGUGCACCCCAGACAAGCAGGGUCUGGAGCGGACCUCAGCAGUCGUACAGCGAAGGGGCUAGACUGGUAGAAGGAAAACCAAGCAACAGAAAUACUUCAUCAUCAACAUUCUGGGUGUCCACUCAGAGACCCAAACGAAAAGUCAGCAACUACGCAGACGACCAGUGGACAAAUCCACAAAGAUGGGAAGAAACCAGCGCAGAAAGGAGGAAAACACCCGAAACCAGAACACCUCGCCUCCUAGAAAGGAACAAAACUCCUCACCAGCAAGGGAGCAAAGCUGGACGGAGAAUGACUGUGACGAAAUGACGGAAUUAGACUUCAGAAGAUGGAUAAUGAGAAACUUUUGUGAGCUAAAAGAACAUGUAUUAAAUCAAUGCAAAGAAACUAAGAACCUUGAAAAAGAU